CACCUAUGUGACUUGAAUGAUUUACUUAAGCUCUCUGAUCCUCUGGAGACUGUGGUAAUAAUGAUGAAACGAAAUUGUGUAUGCCAAAUACAUUGUAUAGAUCAUGGUAAAGAAUGUUUUGGGAUCACUUUAACCAGGAAAAAGUGUGUAUAGGGAAGAAAGCGAGAAAGGCCUUGGAUUUCAUCACUCCUCAGAGAAGUCGCAGUGAAGGAAUGUACCUUUUUUUUUUUUAAGAAUUUAUUUAUGUAUUUAUCUAACUCAAAAUGGAUGAAAGAACUAAAUGU
Molecule: long non-coding RNA, 284 nt
Organism: Canis lupus familiaris (dog)
Lineage: Eukaryota; Metazoa; Chordata; Mammalia; Carnivora; Canidae
Exons: 2
Source: RefSeq, a predicted model, not a curated record